This 253-nucleotide ribosomal RNA is filed under the name uncultured bacterium. RNAcentral's name for it is "partial 16S ribosomal RNA". It matches the Rfam family "Bacterial small subunit ribosomal RNA", at positions 524 to 776 of the family's 1533-position model. The record is from RNAcentral.
UACGGAGGGUGCAAGCGUUAUCCGGAUUCACUGGGUUUAAAGGGUGCGUAGGCGGACAGGUAAGUCAGUGGUGAAAUCUCUGGGCUUAACCCAGAAACUGCCGUUGAUACUAUUUGUCUUGAAUAUCCUGGAGGUAGGCGGAAUAUGUCAUGUAGCGGUGAAAUGCUUAGAUAUGACAUAGAACACCAAUUGCGAAGGCAGCUCGUUACACGCAUAUUGACUCUGAGGCUCGAAAGCGUGGGGAUCAAACAGG